Molecule: long non-coding RNA, 682 nt
Organism: Phacochoerus africanus (Common warthog)
Lineage: Eukaryota; Metazoa; Chordata; Mammalia; Artiodactyla; Suidae
Exons: 2
Source: RefSeq, a predicted model, not a curated record
UAUGUGUGUCUAUGUUGCCUGGGCUUCUGGAACUGGCCACCCUAUGCCGGGAGAGGAGUCUGCCUCAGGUAGCCAUUGUCCUUUCCUCCUGCAUCAGGAAAUGGAACCACGUGGAGCAGAACUGUGUCAGCUUCUAAGCCUGGAGUCCAGCCUAGCUCAGCCAGCCCGGGUGAGCCCAGCUAGGAUCAGACCAAGCCGACUGGCAGGCCUAUUAGCAAGAAAAAUCAAUGUAUGUUGUCCUCAGCUCCUGAGAUUUUGAGGUGGUUUGCAACGCAGCAAAAAUCGACUAAUCCAAAGGGCAGGUUCAGCCGCCCCAGCCCUUGGAGAUGCUGCCCUGGGAAAUCAGGAAGCACACUGUGAAGCAGGUUGCCACAGCUUGGAUCCUGGGAGCAGUGUGGAAUGCUCAAAGAGGCUCAGAGUCUGGAACCCUUCCACUUGAAGCCUUGUCUCUGUCCAGGAUUAGGCUGCUACUUAAGGGCACGUGGAGCAAAUGUCCAUCGGAAAACCAGAACGAGUGAAGCUGCUCGGAAGACCUCACCCCAAGAGAAUGAAGUACCUCCUUUUCCUCCCCUUCCCAAACUCUUCCCUUCUGUAAAUAUCUCUUCUCUCUCCUGCAUCAUCAGUUUCUCUGUCUCUAAAGGGAUGUUCCCAUCUGCAUAUAAAGAUGCUAGGGUAUUGCUUA